Molecule: ribosomal RNA, 468 nt
Filed under: uncultured bacterium
Lineage: Bacteria
Description: partial 16S ribosomal RNA
Rfam family: Bacterial small subunit ribosomal RNA
Source: RNAcentral
GAUGAACGCUGGCGGCGUGCUUAACACAUGCAAGUCGAACGGUGAACACGGAGCUUGCUCUGUGGGAUCAGUGGCGAACGGGUGAGUAACACGUGAGCAACCUGCCCCUGACUCUGGGAUAAGCGCUGGAAACGGCGUCUAAUACUGGAUAUGUGACGUGAUCGCAUGGUCUGCGUCUGGAAAGAAUUUCGGUUGGGGAUGGGCUCGCGGCCUAUCAGCUUGUUGGUGAGGUAAUGGCUCACCAAGGCGUCGACGGGUAGCCGGCCUGAGAGGGGGACCGGCCACACGGGGACUGAGACACGGCCCAGACUCCUACGGGAGGCAGCAGUGGGGAAUAUUGCACAAUGGGCGCAAGCCUGAUGCAGCAACGCCGCGUGAGGGAUGACGGCCUUCGGGUUGUAAACCUCUUUUAGCAGGGAAGAAGCGAAAGUGACGGUACCUGCAGAAAAAGCGCCGGCUAACUACGUG